GUGGGGGUGGUGGAACUGGUAGACACCCUGCCAUGAGGGGGCAGUGCCUCGGCGUGAGGGUUCGAGUCCCUCCUCCCACA
This 80-nucleotide transfer RNA is filed under the name Armatimonadota bacterium. Its description in RNAcentral is "Armatimonadetes bacterium (rhizosphere metagenome) tRNA-Leu". It matches the Rfam family "tRNA". From Rfam's summary of the family: Transfer RNA (tRNA) molecules are approximately 80 nucleotides in length. Their secondary structure includes four short double-helical elements and three loops (D, anti-codon, and T loops). Lineage: Bacteria; Bacillati; Armatimonadota. The record is from RNAcentral.